This 324-nucleotide ribosomal RNA is filed under the name uncultured eukaryote. RNAcentral's name for it is "partial 18S ribosomal RNA". It matches the Rfam family "Eukaryotic small subunit ribosomal RNA", at positions 1470 to 1796 of the family's 1831-position model. The record is from RNAcentral.
CCCUUAGAUGUUCUGGGCCGCACGCGCGCUACACUGACGGAGUCAACGAGUUGUCCUGCAUCGGAAGGUGUGGGUAAUCUUUUGAAACUUCGUCGUGCUGGGGAUAGAUCUUUGCAAUUUUCGAUCUUGAACGAGGAAUUCCUAGUAAGCGUGAUUCAUCAGAUCGCGUUGAUUACGCCCCUGCCCUUUGUACACACCGCCCGUCGCUACUACCGAUUGAAUGGUUUAGUGAGGCCUCGGGACUGGCGCGCUCGAGUAGCAAUACACCUGCGCGCCGGGAACUUGGUCAAACUUGAUCAUUUAGAGGAAGUAAAAGUCGUAACA